GAUGAAGAACGCAGCGAAAUGCGAUAAGUAAUGUGAAUUGCAGAAUUCAGUGAAUCAUCGAAUCUUUGAACGCACCUUGCGCUCCUUGGUAUUCCGAGGAGCAUGCCUGUUUGAGUGUCAUUAAUAUAUCAACCUCUUCAGCUUAUGCUUGUUGAGUGUUGGAUGGUGGGGGUUUGCUGGUGUCUUAUGAAGUCAGCUCCUCUGAAAUGCAUUAGCGGAACAAUUUGUUGACCGUUCAUUGGUGUGAUAAAAAUAUCUACGCUAUUGACGUCAGUCAGUUCAGCUUCUAACAGUCCAUUGACUUGGACAAAUUUUUCAUUAAUGUGACCUCAAAUCAGGAAGGACUACCCGCUGAACUUAAGCAUAUCAAUAAGCGGAGGA
Molecule: unclassified non-coding RNA, 381 nt
Filed under: soil metagenome
Description: partial contains 5.8S ribosomal RNA, internal transcribed spacer 2, and large subunit ribosomal RNA
Rfam family: 5.8S ribosomal RNA (bases 1-120)
Source: RNAcentral